Molecule: ribosomal RNA, 263 nt
Filed under: uncultured bacterium
Lineage: Bacteria
Description: partial 16S ribosomal RNA
Rfam family: Bacterial small subunit ribosomal RNA
Source: RNAcentral
AGUAACACGUAAACAACCUGCCUUCAGGAUGGGGACAACAGACGGAAACGACUGCUAAUACCGAAUAAGUUCCAAGAGCCGCAUGGCCCAUGGAAGAAAAGGUGGCCUCUACCUGUAAGCUAUCGCCUGAAGAGGGGUUUGCGUCUGAUUAGCUGGUUGGAGGGGUAACGGCCCACCAAGGCGACGAUCAGUAGCCGGUCUGAGAGGGUGACCGGCCACAUUGGGACUGAGACACGGCCCAAACUCCUACGGGAGGCAGCAUG